UAAUACCGGCGGCUCGAGUGGUGGCCACUAUUACUGGGCUUAAAGCGUCCGUAGCUUGGUUGUUAAGUCUCCUGGGAAAUCCAUCGGCUCAACCGAUGGGCGUUCAGGAGAUACUGGCAACCUAGGGACCGGGAGAGGUGAGAGGUACUCCAGGGGUAGGAGUGAAAUCCUGUAAUCCUUGGGGGACCACCUGUGGCGAAGGCGUCUCACUAGAACGGCUCCGACAGUGAGGGACGAAAGCUGGGGGAGCAAACCGG
Molecule: ribosomal RNA, 257 nt
Filed under: uncultured bacterium
Lineage: Bacteria
Description: partial 16S ribosomal RNA
Rfam family: Archaeal small subunit ribosomal RNA
Source: RNAcentral